This 2100-nucleotide long non-coding RNA is filed under the name Nicotiana tabacum (common tobacco). Its description in RNAcentral is "long non-coding RNA (NTAB_LNC014144)". Lineage: Eukaryota; Viridiplantae; Streptophyta; Magnoliopsida; Solanales; Solanaceae. The record is from RNAcentral.
GUACAUUAUGAAUUUUAGAGUAAUCAUUAAAAGCAUGACAAGAGGUUACAUUGUCAGAACAAAGAGAAGUACAAAUAGGAGCAACAGUAGAAACACUAGAAUCAUUUAUACUAAAGAAAGGAACAGCAGGACAGACUGAAGUUGAUGAAGUAUCUAGAUACAAGAAAUAUAAUCCUUUAGCAGCUCUACCAAUUUCCAAUGGCCUCUUCAGAGAAGGGGCCUGUAGAAAACAAGCAAGAAUUGCAAAACAGUCAAGUUGGACAAUCAAAUUGUGGAUAGAUAUCAAAUUGAAGUGAAAUGAAGGAACAAGAAGUACAUUGCAUAAAGUUAUAUCAUGUCUUAAGUGUAAAGAGCUAGUAGAUAUAACUUUUACUUUGUAACCAUUAGGUAGAGUAAUUAGAAAAGGAACAGACAAUGGUUUGAGGUUGUGAAGAAAGUGUUGGUGUGGUAUUAUGUGAUUAGUUGCCCCUGAAUCUAAGAUCCAAGAAUCUACAUCUAAUCUUGAUAAUCCACAAACAUGAAAAUCAGUACUACUGACUACAGAACAUAACACACCUGCAAAGCUAGCAAAAGCAGCAUUGUCACCAAAGGGAGUCUCAGGGGUAAAACCGGAAGCAGGAUAAGCAAGUGCAUGUUGAUUAGGUGUGACAUGUGUCUUGUGAAGAAGACUCAGAAGAUGGUGAUACUGCUAUUUAGUGAAACCAUGAGGAGCAGAAGUUAGAUCAUUAGAAUCUGGAGCAGUGGUUGUACUUUGCACACAAGAAGCUGAACCCUUUCUGCCCUUGGUGAAUUUAAAGUCGGGGAAACCCAUAAAACUUAUAACAUUUGUCAAUAGUGUGACCCGACUUCUUGCACUAUUUACAAAAGACAUAAGAUGAAAGUUGCUUCUUUGAGUCAAAUUGAAUUCUUUGAGAGAAAGACCUAUUAUUGGAACUCUGCCCAGCAGAAGUAGAGAAAGAAGCUGAAUCAUUUGAGAUACUGGGGAUGUGAGUGGUGUUCUCCUUAUGAUGUUCAUCAUGUUGAAGCAUGGAAUAAGCUUUGCUUAUGGAGGGCAUGGGAGACAUCAUCAUGAUGUUGGUUUUGCAUGAAGAAUAUGUGCCAUUUAGACCACUAAGAAACUGAAAAAGUUGUUGAUCUUCUAGGAGUAUAGGUAGAGCCCCACAGGUGCAGGUUGGACCCACAUAAGUAGCAUGAAGUUCAUCCCAUAACCCGUAAAAUAUGUUUUUAUGUCUGAAGAUCCCUGAGUAGUAGCACUAAUUUCCAUUUGAAUAAAUUUCAACCCAUUGGAUUGACCAAACCUUUCAUUUAUGUUUUUCUAGAUAUUUUUAGCAAUAUUGAAUCCUAUAAGGCUAAUGGAAAUCUCUCUAGUCAGGGAAUUGGUCAUCCACGCAAUGAGUAUGUCAUUGCAUCUCUCCCAAGCAGAAUAAUAAGGAGAGUUUGGUUCUGGUUGAGGAUUCCUUCCCAUUAUCACUCCGAGUUUAUUUUUGGUUGAAAGAGCAACUAGCAUGUUCUUUCGCCACACAAAAAAAUCACGACCAUCCAAAGGAGGAGACACUAGGGGAGUAUUAGGGUUAUCUGAUGAAUGAAUGUAAAACGGAUGUGAAGAAUCAACUGAGAGAAUAGUGAAUCCAUCGGCAUUGUGACUAAUAGGGACACUAGUACAUGUCAAACUAGGAGUACUUCCCAUUAUGUUCAAUUCUACAGUUCUACGUAUAGCAAACGAUAUUUCCCACAAAAUUUCUAUAACAAAUCGCAACAAAAAAGGAGAAAAUGAUGAAGAAAUUAUACCGUCUUCUUUCAAAACCCAAAGAAGUAAGGCCUUUGCAGAAUCUAUGAAAUUGAACUGGAAUUGAGCUAUUCUAGGCACACAUAGAAGAGGAAACAACUUGAUCGGAGAUAAAAAAAAAAAAGAAGGGAAAAACCCUAAUUUUUCGACGAACCAGUCGUUCGACCAUCGGAAAAAUCACCAGAGAAAACCGACGAGGGUAACAUCGAUCGGAUGCGGAGAACGUGAACAAGCUAGAUUCUAGCUCUAAUACCAUGUUAGAUCAACCAAACCUCAGCAUUUGAGCAAAAUCAGAUAUGAAAAAAAUCCUAGUU